This 1132-nucleotide ribosomal RNA is filed under the name Rhodotorula mucilaginosa. Its description in RNAcentral is "eukaryotic LSU rRNA". The stretch from base 533 to 1132 matches the Rfam family "Eukaryotic large subunit ribosomal RNA", at positions 1 to 616 of the family's 3401-position model. Lineage: Eukaryota; Fungi; Basidiomycota; Microbotryomycetes; Sporidiobolales; Sporidiobolaceae. The record is from RNAcentral.
UUAGUGAAUAUAGGACGUCCAACUUAACUUGGAGUCCGAACUCUCACUUUCUAACCCUGUGCACUUGUUUGGGAUAGUAACUCUCGCAAGAGAGCGAACUCCUAUUCACUUAUAAACACAAAGUCUAUGAAUGUAUUAAAUUUUAUAACAAAAUAAAACUUUCAACAACGGAUCUCUUGGCUCUCGCAUCGAUGAAGAACGCAGCGAAAUGCGAUAAGUAAUGUGAAUUGCAGAAUUCAGUGAAUCAUCGAAUCUUUGAACGCACCUUGCGCUCCAUGGUAUUCCGUGGAGCAUGCCUGUUUGAGUGUCAUGAAUACUUCAACCCUCCUCUUUCUUAAUGAUUGAAGAGGUGUUUGGUUUCUGAGCGCUGCUGGCCUUUACGGUCUAGCUCGUUCGUAAUGCAUUAGCAUCCGCAAUCGAACUUCGGAUUGACUUGGCGUAAUAGACUAUUCGCUGAGGAAUUCUAGUCUUCGGAUUAGAGCCGGGUUGGGUUAAAGGAAGCUUCUAAUCAGAAUGUCUACAUUUUAAGAUUAGAUCUCAAAUCAGGUAGGACUACCCGCUGAACUUAAGCAUAUCAAUAAGCGGAGGAAAAGAAACUAACAAGGAUUCCCCUAGUAGCGGCGAGCGAAGCGGGAAGAGCUCAAAUUUAUAAUCUGGCACCUUCGGUGUCCGAGUUGUAAUCUCUAGAAAUGUUUUCCGCGUUGGACCGCACACAAGUCUGUUGGAAUACAGCGGCAUAGUGGUGAGACCCCCGUAUAUGGUGCGGACGCCCAGCGCUUUGUGAUACAUUUUCGAAGAGUCGAGUUGUUUGGGAAUGCAGCUCAAAUUGGGUGGUAAAUUCCAUCUAAAGCUAAAUAUUGGCGAGAGACCGAUAGCGAACAAGUACCGUGAGGGAAAGAUGAAAAGCACUUUGGAAAGAGAGUUAACAGUACGUGAAAUUGUUGGAAGGGAAACGCUUGAAGUCAGACUUGCUUGCCGAGCAAUCGGUUUGCAGGCCAGCAUCAGUUUUCCGGGAUGGAUAAUGGUAGAGAGAAGGUAGCAGUUUCGGCUGUGUUAUAGCUCUCUGCUGGAUACAUCUUGGGGGACUGAGGAACGCAGUGUGCCUUUGGCGGGGGUUUCGACCUCUUCACAC